AAGCAGCACUCUGUGGCAGAUGAACAAACUGCUGAGCCCAAUUUGAGCUUUCUAGAGCAAUAAAAUCUAACUGAUGUCAUUGUCCUCUGCCCACGAGACAAGCCAAUACAUAGGUUCAAGCAAU
Molecule: small nucleolar RNA, 124 nt
Filed under: Microtus ochrogaster (prairie vole)
Lineage: Eukaryota; Metazoa; Chordata; Mammalia; Rodentia; Cricetidae
Description: Small nucleolar RNA SNORA28 (ENSMOCG00000004555.1)
Source: RNAcentral